RNAcentral lists this ribosomal RNA (459 nucleotides) under uncultured bacterium. RNAcentral describes it as "bacterial SSU rRNA". It matches the Rfam family "Bacterial small subunit ribosomal RNA", at positions 977 to 1434 of the family's 1533-position model. The record is from RNAcentral.
GGGCUUGACAUCCCACGAACCUGCCGAAAGGCAGGAGUGCCCGCAAGGGAGCGCUUGUAGAGGUGCUGCAUGGCUGUCGUCAGCUCGUGUCGUGAGAUGUUGGGUUAAGUCCCGCAACGAGCGCAACCCUUGUCUGCUGCUGCCAUCAGGUAAAGCUGGGCACUCUGCGGAGACUGCCGGUGACAAACCGGAGGAAGGUGGGGAUGACGUCAAGUCCGCAUGGCCUUUAUGUCCGGGGCCACACACGUGCAACAAUGGGCGGCACAAACCGUCGCGAUCUCGCAAGAGGGAGCUAAUCGGAGAAAGCCGUUCUCAGUUCGGAUUGUAGGCUGCAACUCGCCUGCAUGAAGUUGGAAUCGCUAGUAAUCGCGGAUCAGCACGCCGCGGUGAAUACGUUCCCGGGCCUUGUACACACCGCCCGUCACAUCACGAAAGCUGGCUGUACUCGAAGUCGCUGAG